AUCCGCUGCCUGCAGGACGACGAGGCCGAAGCUGACGAUGAGGAGGUGGGCGGAGCUUCAGAAACGGGGGGGGCGUGGCCUGCAGGCUUAGCCCCGCCCCCACGGUGCGCUCUCGUCCAAUCAGGUGGAGGCGGCGGCGGAGCUGCGGGAGCAGGCGGGGGAGGGGCUGGUGGCGGUGGGCGGGGCUUCGCCGGGGGGCGGGGCUUUGAGCGACGCCUUCCGCCGAGUCCUGCCCACCCUAUUGGGCUGCCUGGUGAGGGGGCGGGGCUAAAGGGGGAGGGGGCGGGGCUAAAGGGGAAGGGGGCGGGGCUAAAGUUAUGGGGCGGGGUUAUAAGGGAAGGGGAUGGGGUUAGAAGGAAGGAGGUGGGGUUAACUGGAAAGGGGCGGGGUUUAAAGGGAAGGGGGCGGAGUUUAAAGGGAAGGGGGCGGGGCUUGGUUGAGGUGUCCCUAUUUUGGGUUCCUAUGGGGUCUCUAUGGGUCCCUAUGGGGUCUAUGGGGUCCCUAUGGGUCCCUAUGGGUUCCUAUGGGUCUCUAUGGGUCCUAUGGGUUUCUAUGGGUGUCUGUGGGUCCCUAUGGGUCUCUAUGGGGUUCUAUGGGGUCUCUCUGGGUCCCUAUGGGUCUCUAUGGUUCCCUAUGGGUCCCCAUGGGUCUCUAUGGGUCCCUAUGGGUCCCUGUGGGUCUCUGUGGGUCUUUAUGGGUGCCUAUGGGUCUCUGGGUCCCUAUGGGUCUCUAUGGGUCUCUCUGGGUCCCUAUGGGUCCCUGUGGCUUCCUAUGGGGUCUCUGUGGAACACUAUGGGGUCGCUAUGGUUCUCUAUGGGGCUCCAUGUGUCCCUGUGGGUCCCUGUGGGUCUCUAUGGGGUCCCAUGUGUCCUGUGGGGUCUCUGUGGGGUUUAUAUGGUGUCUCAAUGGGUCUCAGUGGGUGUCAGUGGGUCUCUAUGGGUCUCUGUGGGUCUCUGUGGGUCCCUAUGGGUUUCUAUGGGUCCCUAUGUGUCCUAUGGGUUUCUAUGGGUGUCUGUGGGUCCCUAUGGGUCUCUAUGGGGUUCUAUGGGGUCUCUCUGGGUCCCUAUGGGUCUCUAUGGUUCCCUAUGGGUCCCCAUGGGUCUCUAUGGGUCCCUAUGGGUUUCUAUGGGUCCCUCUGGGUCCCUAUGGGUCCUAUGGGUUUCUAUGGGUGUCUGUGGGUCCCUAUGGGUCUGAAUGGGCUUCUGUGGGGUCUCUCUGGGUCUCUGGGUCCCUAUGGGUCCCUAUGGGUCCCUAUGGGUCUCUAUGGGUCCCUAUGGGUCUGUAUGGGUCUCUAUGGUUCACUAUGGGUCCCUAUGGGUCCUAUGGGUCCCUAUGGGUCCCUGUGGGUUUCUAUGGGUCUCUAUGGGGCUCUCUGGGUCCCUAUGGGUCCCUAUGGGGUCUAUGGGAUCCCUAUGGGUCUCUGUGGUUCCCUAUGGGGUCCCUGUGGGUCCCUGUGGGUCCCUAUGGGUCCCUGUGUGUCCCUGUGCCCCAUUUGUGCCCCCGCCCCCCGCUGACGUCGCAGAGCGGCGACGCGGCGCAGCGCUCCUGGGCGGCCGCCAUCUUGGGCGAGGCAGGCUUUUACCUGGACGUGGGCAUGGCCAAGGAGCUCCUCCCUCUGAUUGGCCCGGCCCUCGCUCGAAGCUCCGCCCACGACCCGGACCCGGAAGUGCGCAGCAACGCCCUCUGCAGCAUCGGGCGCCUGGCGGCCAAUGGCGUCGCGUUGGGGGCGGCGUGGCCGGGCCUGGCUGCCAUUGGCCGAGCGCUGCGGGAGGAGGGGCCGGGCUGGGCGCGGGACAACGCCUGCGGGGCUUUGGUCCGCCAUAAGGGGGCGCUGCCGGAUGCGGAACUGCUGGUUCUGCUGCUCCCGGCGCUGCCGCUGACGGCGGAUUUUGAGGAGAAUUCCGCCGUUUUUGGGUACCUGCUGCAGCUGCACGUCCAGCAGGGAUUGGACGCCGCGGCCGCCAUGACACCACCGACUGACCAAUAAAAGGAUGGAGGCCGAGGCCACGCCCCCCUUUGGUUUUAUUCCGCGUGGGCGGGGCUUGGCGAGGGGUGGGCGGGGCCUCGCGGGCCAAGCCGGAUGCCGAUUGGUCCGUAGGGGCGGGCUUGCUCCAGCCGCAGCCAACCGGCGGCGCAGAGAUCUACAAAAGGGGCGGGGCUUAGAGCAAGCCCCGCCCCCAUCCCCAUCACUUAAAUCCCAUUGGCUCCACCCGCCGAAGCCCCGCCCCCAUCCCCCUUACCCAGACAAACCCGGAAGAGCCGCGCCCACAACUUCCGGGGGGCGGAUCUCGGGAGCAGCCCGCUAAGCUCCGCCCCUUCCGGUCUCCCCGCCCCCUCCAGCGCCACCCUAUAGGAACGAAGUGUUUGGGGGGGAGGGGGGCGGGGUCAAACCGCGCCUUAAAGCCACGCCCCCCCAAAAAGCCACGCCCACUGACCGCCGCAACGAAGCCACGCCCACCGGCGGAAGUCCCGCCUCUUCCGGAAGUUCGGGCAGAGGGGGCGGGGCUCUGCGGAAGGAGGGGUUGAAGCCGAUUGGUCGCUCGCUCGAGGCCACGCCCCCCCUCCCGCCGUGGCCACGCCCCCCCCCUGACCUCCAUUCCUCCGCCGGGGUCACGGCGGGGCGCGGCUCCUCGGGGCUCAGCGCCAGGCUCAGCUCUGGCAGCGCCCAGCGCGGGGACACGAGGGGACACGUGGGGACACAUUGCGAUCCACGGGGACACGUGGGGACACAUAGGGACACGUGGGGACACAGAGACCCCAUAGGGACACAUGGGGACACGUGGGGACACAGAGACCCCAUAGGGACCCAUAGGGACCCAUAGGGACACAUUGGGACACGUGGGGACAGAGAGACCCCAUAGAAACACAUUGGGACCCAUAGGGACACACAGACCCCAUAGGGACACAUGGGGACACGUGGGGACACAGAGACCCCAUAGGGACACAUAGGGACACGUUGGGACACAGAGACCCCAUAGGGACCCAUA
RNAcentral lists this long non-coding RNA (2987 nucleotides) under Phasianus colchicus (ring-necked pheasant). RNAcentral describes it as "lncRNA (ENSPCLG00000015719.1)". The record is from RNAcentral. Lineage: Eukaryota; Metazoa; Chordata; Aves; Galliformes; Phasianidae.